GCAGUGAUGGCCGAGUGGUUAAGGUGUCUCACUAGAAAUCAGAUGGGAACUUCCCGCGUAGGUUCGAAUCCUACUCACUGCG
This 82-nucleotide transfer RNA is filed under the name Penaeus monodon (black tiger shrimp). RNAcentral describes it as "tRNA-Ser". It matches the Rfam family "tRNA". From Rfam's summary of the family: Transfer RNA (tRNA) molecules are approximately 80 nucleotides in length. The record is from RNAcentral. Lineage: Eukaryota; Metazoa; Arthropoda; Malacostraca; Decapoda; Penaeidae.